Pteronotus mesoamericanus is the source of this 894-nucleotide long non-coding RNA. RefSeq lists it as uncharacterized. Lineage: Eukaryota; Metazoa; Chordata; Mammalia; Chiroptera; Mormoopidae. The record is from RefSeq and is a predicted model, not a curated record. The transcript is spliced from 3 exons.
UACCUUCCCCUCCUCUGUGGCCACACUGUGCCCUCCCCUCCUCUCAGGUGGGCCAGUCUUGCCUGAUUCACCCUUCUCCCCAUCUCCCUCCCUCCCAUGUCUUUAGGUAGGUCUAUCAUCAGAGUUCCAGGGUUUAAAGGGAUCAGGACCUUGCCUCUGUAGUGUCCGGGUUUCCCACUCUCUGAGAACUAAAGCAUCUUAGAGCUAGAAAGAAUUAUUCAUCCAGCUCUAGGUUUUCAAACUUAUGUUUUUGCAGUGCAAUCCUUCCUUUAAAAAAAUCUUAGGAAGGUCCUGGGCUUGAAACAAAGAUAAGGGGCUUUGAGCCUCCCUGUACUUAUUCUUUUGCUAUCUCCCACCAGAGAUUUCUAUAAAAAACCCUUUGUUGAAAAUCACUGAUUCAUGCAACACCCACAAGGGACUUGAGUUGCCUUCUAUCAUAUCCCCACAACUGUGCAAGCUCUCCGCUAAUGGCGUAUUCAACAUCACCCAAGGCUUCCCUUUAGAAUUCUGGGUCAAAGCACUGCCCAUUAAGAUGCAAAUGUCCCUGGAGUGUGGGGGACACAAUAUUCUGCCAGGGCUUCACAUCAAAAGUAUGAAUCACCCAGUCUAAUCCCCUUCCUCCCAGCUGUUCAACUGAGCCCGAGGCUAAGAAGAGAGAAGAUAGUUGAAGGGGAUCUGGAUCCUUUUGGAGCAGGCAGCAAGUCUGGGGCCCUGUCUACCAGCAUCAGCUCUCAGCUGUCUGAAUGGAGUGAGGUCAUCAGGAAACCACAGAGACGCCACAACUGGCCAACUCGUGAUCUUCAGCAGUAAGGCCAGGGCACAGACGCAGGGCCCUGGAAACACCAGCAAUCCCGCCGACCAUCACCAGACACACACAGAUCAACAAAGUCACGC